This 546-nucleotide ribosomal RNA is filed under the name Bacillus subtilis subsp. subtilis. RNAcentral describes it as "bacterial SSU rRNA". It matches the Rfam family "Bacterial small subunit ribosomal RNA", at positions 71 to 598 of the family's 1533-position model. Lineage: Bacteria; Bacillati; Bacillota; Bacilli; Caryophanales; Bacillaceae. The record is from RNAcentral.
GAUGGGAGCUUGCUCCCUGAUGUUAGCGGCGGACGGGUGAGUAACACGUGGGUAACCUGCCUGUAAGACUGGGAUAACUCCGGGAAACCGGGGCUAAUACCGGAUGGUUGUUUGAACCGCAUGGUUCAAACAUAAAAGGUGGCUUCGGCUACCACUUACAGAUGGACCCGCGGCGCAUUAGCUAGUUGGUGAGGUAACGGCUCACCAAGGCAACGAUGCGUAGCCGACCUGAGAGGGUGAUCGGCCACACUGGGACUGAGACACGGCCCAGACUCCUACGGGAGGCAGCAGUAGGGAAUCUUCCGCAAUGGACGAAAGUCUGACGGAGCAACGCCCGCGUGAGUGAUGAAGGUUUUCGGAUCGUAAAGCUCUGUUGUUAGGGAAGAACAAGUACCCGUUCGAAUAGGGCGGUACCUUGACGGUACCUAACCAGAAAGCCACGGCUAACUACGUGCCAGCAGCCGCGGUAAUACGUAGGUGGCAAGCGUUGUCCGGGAAUUAUUGGGCGUAAAGGGUUCGCAGGCGGUUUCUUAAGCUUGAUGUGAA